Zootermopsis nevadensis is the source of this 1255-nucleotide non-coding RNA. NCBI's taxonomy places the organism in Eukaryota, Metazoa, Arthropoda, Insecta, Blattodea, Termopsidae. The record is from RefSeq and is a predicted model, not a curated record.
UGAUCUUCUGAGCUGUGACCUCGAGUGAACUGAACAUUAAGGCUGUGUUUUCCUCCGAAACGUUGAUACCCACUCACGAGCCCACACGGCAUUACUUCGCUGCGUUGAGAACAUCAGAUGUUAUAGCACUACCACUGAUCAGACCCACGAGCCGCCACUGGCCGAAACUUCCAUGGAAAACGUCUGAUCUGAAUUGUCAACUGUGCUGGGAUAGCUGCCACCUCACAAUUUCGUUAAGUUACGACAUUGUGGUUUGUUGUAGAAAGAUAAUAAUAUUGAAGAUGGGAAGUUAUCAAGCGGUAUGGCGUCCAUACCGACUGCGAUGAAAAUCGAUCGGCAAAUGUCUUACACUUUUGUAGUUGAGUCAGGAAACGUACGGGCACAUUGAAGCACGCAGUUCGUUAAUAGUGUUCCGAAGAAGGAAAAAUCUUCAGAAGCCUAAAAUGUGUUUUCAGAGAAAGAGCACUCGGUUUCAUUUCGUUACUUUAUUAUUAUUGUUGUUGUUGUUGUUGUUGUUGUGCUUAUUACUGUCGCAUGUCAUUAAGAGUAAGUAACAAUAUCGUAGGGUGUUUUGGAGAGACAACAGCUUUCUUGCCCAUUUGAUAUCUUUGUUUGUUCUGUGGAAAGAAAUCAUUACUUAAAACAAAGUCGAAACCAGAGAGGACCGGUUUUGUCAACAGUUGCCCUGUUGGUAAUCCCAUAAUGCUAACAUAAUAUCUUCUUUCCGAAUAUUUAUAUCAAUAUUUGUCUUCCCUCAAAAGAAUAUAAAAAAGCUAUAACUUUUAACUUAACCUUGGGGCCCCCAGUAACUUCAACGUUUUUUGUAUGUGUCGAUGCACCCGUGCGCGAAACGCGUGUUCUUUUCACUGCCCCCCCACCCCCCAUCAAACAAAUCCAUAGGCGUUUGCUAUACAGAACUGAUUGUGUUAAAGGGACUGGAAGCAGGAGGGUCAGGUAUUUUUUCACAUUGAUAUAAAAUGGCUGACACGUAACUCCUUCCCUUGUCUUCACCCCAUGCAACUUCUAUUGUCGAGAAACCAUUAGUAAAAGCUGUUAGGGGACACAGAAUGCCUGCUACUUUUUUCGCCAUAAAACUGGCAGAAAUAUACCAAAAAUAUAAACCCAGUCUCAUGAUCUCCCAAUAAGAAUCACCACCAGAACAUAAAAGAUCAAGGCUCCAUGAUGCAGUAUUAUAAUGGCAGUGAGUGUAAAAGCAUAUAAUGUCGUAAAUUUGCCAAUAAAAUGUGAAGAAUAA